AUCGGAAUAGGUCAAAGGGCAGAGGUGACACAGUGGGUCAUGAAAUCUCUUAUGUUUUGAAGAAGGCAAUUAGCAAGCUAAGAAAACAGAGUUAGCACUUUCAGACACCUCAUUAGUAUCCAGGGAGAGAGUUAGUUAAGUUAAAGGGAAGUCAGAAUGGUACUCACCGGAGUAGCCUGAGACCACCUUCAGUAAGUAGGAGACAAGUCCUUUGGAGCGGGAUAAUGCUUCUCAGGAUGCAGUCAAGUAUCGUGGAGAACAGUUUAAAAGAAGAAUGACCAGUGUCAGCAAAAGGAGCAAGGGCACUGCAUCAGCACGCAGAAUUGGUAGUAAGGCAAAAGUCACCAAGAAUGGGAAGGUACCAGAGGGGGGGAAGCAGCACUGGAUGCCAUUCUCUGCAAUGUCAUGGCACCCUCAAGGGUCCAUCGCCAUCCCACUAAUCUCCCCAGUGUGUUUGGUCCACAGAUUCUCUUUCCGAGAGGUACUUAUGGGUCCUUGGGUCAGAUGGAAUCGUGGGCCCCGCAGCCACUCUGCAGUGCUGAGACUCGUGUGCCUGUGUUGUCCUGCAUUCAUGCAGCUCGUAUCUCUGGAUGCCAGACACUGCAAUUUCAGGAGGGUAAAAACAAGACUGUUAAGUAAGAGCAACCCCAGAUAGAAAGAGCAAAUACUGUGAGGCUACUUCCUUCCAGAAUUUCAGGAGGGAAGCAGGGCCAAACUGUCUUCUGCUCUUAGCAUCCAAGACCGGAUGGGACUCCAUCGUGGAGCUUAUCCUGCCCUUCCUAAGGUAACACCCAGAGGGGGGGUGACAAGAAACAUACUCAGUUGCAAUCUAGGUUUCUUUUCCCUUUAGCUUCAACAUCCUCUUGUCAGACGUGGAAAGAGUGAGAAAAAAGCAUCACAUUCAGUAUGCUCUCCUAUCCAGUUUGGAGUAAAGAUUCUUAAAAUUAAAGAAGUGUGUGGAAUGCAGGAAAAAGAUUUAUUCGCAUAAGACAAACUCUUGCAAACCAGAAGGUACUUAGUUUUGGACUCAGGCACCUGACUAUUGUCUAAUAUUGCCUUCAGG
Molecule: long non-coding RNA, 1063 nt
Filed under: Vulpes vulpes (red fox)
Lineage: Eukaryota; Metazoa; Chordata; Mammalia; Carnivora; Canidae
Description: lncRNA (ENSVVUG00000019061.1)
Source: RNAcentral